This 676-nucleotide ribosomal RNA is filed under the name Staphylococcus aureus. RNAcentral's name for it is "partial 23S ribosomal RNA". It matches the Rfam family "Bacterial large subunit ribosomal RNA", at positions 851 to 1529 of the family's 2925-position model. The record is from RNAcentral. Lineage: Bacteria; Bacillati; Bacillota; Bacilli; Caryophanales; Staphylococcaceae.
GGUUCUCUCCGAAAUAGCUUUAGGGCUAGCCUCAAGUGAUGAUUAUUGGAGGUAGAGCACUGUUUGGACGAGGGGCCCCUCUCGGGUUACCGAAUUCAGACAAACUCCGAAUGCCAAUUAAUUUAACUUGGGAGUCAGAACAUGGGUGAUAAGGUCCGUGUUCGAAAGGGAAACAGCCCAGACCACCAGCUAAGGUCCCAAAAUAUAUGUUAAGUGGAAAAGGAUGUGGCGUUGCCCAGACAACUAGGAUGUUGGCUUAGAAGCAGCCAUCAUUUAAAGAGUGCGUAAUAGCUCACUAGUCGAGUGACACUGCGCCGAAAAUGUACCGGGGCUAAACAUAUUACCGAAGCUGUGGAUUGUCCUUUGGACAAUGGUAGGAGAGCGUUCUAAGGGCGUUGAAGCAUGAUCGUAAGGACAUGUGGAGCGCUUAGAAGUGAGAAUGCCGGUGUGAGUAGCGAAAGACGGGUGAGAAUCCCGUCCACCGAUUGACUAAGGUUUCCAGAGGAAGGCUCGUCCGCUCUGGGUUAGUCGGGUCCUAAGCUGAGGCCGACAGGCGUAGGCGAUGGAUAACAGGUUGAUAUUCCUGUACCACCUAUAAUCGUUUUAAUCGAUGGGGGGACGCAGUAGGAUAGGCGAAGCGUGCGAUUGGAUUGCACGUCUAAGCAGUAAGGCUGAG